This 279-nucleotide unclassified non-coding RNA is filed under the name plant metagenome. Its description in RNAcentral is "partial contains small subunit ribosomal RNA, internal transcribed spacer 1, and 5.8S ribosomal RNA". The record is from RNAcentral.
UUUCCGUAGGUGAACCUGCGGAAGGAUCAUUACCGUGUCAUGGUCUCUCAGGCCCCACCUCCCUCUCUGUUUCUUUUUGACCUUGUUGCUUUGGCGGUUCCGCCUCCAUGAGAGUCCGCCUUAAGCUCACCGCUUUGGUCCCUUCCCCCCCCGUAGCCCCCUUAAAUUCUUAAUCAACCUGUUGUCCGGGUCUAUAUAUUAUAAAAAAAACUUUCAACAACGUUUAUCUUGGUUCUGGCAUCUAUUAAGUACGCAGCAGCACUGCAGAUCACACUUCUU